AACAAAGCUCAAAAGCAAAAAAGGCAGAAGGGCUAAAAGCGCAAUUAGCCCUUCCGUGUGAAAACACGCGGAUCCUGAGGCCGACGGGUCGGGUCUCGCGCGGGUCAAGCGAAACGACGCCGUUUUGGGUGUUGAGUGUUGGCCCCAAAACGACGUCGUACCGAGGGCUUAUAAAAGUCAAUUUUUUUUUUGAAAUUUCAUUUUUCUGAGUUUGGAAAGAAAAAAAAGAAAAAAAAAGAGGAGUUUUCUCUCUAUAGAGAACUCAGAGCCGGCCUAGGGAUCCGGCCAACCCCACCGUGGCUCCGCCGUGCUAGCCACAGUACACAGUGACCGGAAAUCGCC
RNAcentral lists this long non-coding RNA (342 nucleotides) under Gossypium barbadense (sea-island cotton). RNAcentral's name for it is "long non-coding RNA (GBAR_LNC001996)". The record is from RNAcentral. Lineage: Eukaryota; Viridiplantae; Streptophyta; Magnoliopsida; Malvales; Malvaceae.